Molecule: unclassified non-coding RNA, 329 nt
Filed under: soil metagenome
Description: partial contains 5.8S ribosomal RNA, internal transcribed spacer 2, and large subunit ribosomal RNA
Rfam family: 5.8S ribosomal RNA (bases 1-120)
Source: RNAcentral
GAUGAAGAACGCAGCGAAAUGCGAUAAGUAGUGUGAAUUGCAGAAUUCAGUGAAUCAUCGAAUCUUUGAACGCACAUUGCGCCCCUUGGUAUUCCAUGGGGCAUGCCUGUUCGAGCGUCAUUUGUACCUUCAAGCUUUGCUUGGUGUUGGGCCCCGCCGCCCCGGCGGGCCCUAAAGUCAGUGGCGGUGCCGUCCGGCUCCGAGCGUAGUAAUUCUUCUCGCUCUGGAGGUCCGGUCGUGUGCUCGCCAGCAACCCCCAAUUUUUUUCAGGUUGACCUCGGAUCAGGUAGGGAUACCCGCUGAACUUAAGCAUAUCAAUAAGCGGAGGA